Molecule: long non-coding RNA, 258 nt
Organism: Molossus molossus (Pallas's mastiff bat)
Lineage: Eukaryota; Metazoa; Chordata; Mammalia; Chiroptera; Molossidae
Exons: 3
Source: RefSeq, a predicted model, not a curated record
AGGUUCCGGUUACCUGAAGAGGCAGCCCAGAAGAAGAGGAAGAGGAAAGAAAGAGGGUUCAGCAAUGGCUCUUUCUGAGUCCCUCUCAUCUCUAGUUAUGUUCCAUCUCACCAUGCACCAGUGAAGUGGAUACUUUUAUCAACCAGGAUAAAAGAACACGCACACAGAAGUCUCGUAAUAACAUGCACAAAUACUUGGAAAUCAACAGAAAUGUCUGAAAGUUGAGAUGGUUUUUAUCAUCCAUUUCUUGGAGGUGGC